Molecule: ribosomal RNA, 447 nt
Filed under: uncultured bacterium
Lineage: Bacteria
Description: bacterial SSU rRNA
Rfam family: Bacterial small subunit ribosomal RNA
Source: RNAcentral
GUCCAGACUCCUACGGGAGGCAGCAGUAGGGAAUAUUGCACAAUGGGGGAAACCCUGAUGCAGCGACGCCGCGUGAGUGAAGAAGUAUUUCGGUAUGUAAAGCUCUCUCAGCAGGGAAGAAAAUGACGGUACCUGAUUAAGAAGCCCCGGCUAACUACGUGCCAGCAGCCGCGGUAAUACGUAGGGGGCAAGCGUUAUCCGGAUUUACUGGGUGUAAAGGGAGCGUAGACGGUGAUGCAAGUCAGAAGUGAAAGCCCGGGGCUCAACUCCGGGACUGCUUUUGAAACUGUGUGACUGGAGUGCAGGAGAGGUAAGCGGAAUUCCUGGUGUAGCGGUGAAAUGCGUAGAUAUCAGGAGGAACACCAGUGGCGAAGGCAGCUUACUGGACUGUAACUGACGUUGAGGCUCGAAAGCGUGGGGAGCAAACAGGAUUAGAUACCCCGGUAC